Molecule: transfer RNA, 75 nt
Filed under: Halobellus sp. H-GB7
Lineage: Archaea; Methanobacteriati; Methanobacteriota; Halobacteria; Halobacteriales; Haloferacaceae
Description: tRNA-Phe
Rfam family: tRNA
About the family: Transfer RNA (tRNA) molecules are approximately 80 nucleotides in length.
Source: RNAcentral
GGACUCGUAGCUCAGCCUGGGAGAGCGCCGCCCUGAAGAGGCGGUCCUGCCCCGGUUCGAAUCCGGGCGAGUCCA